GUGCUCACUUUAGCAGCACAUAUACUAAAAUUGGAACAAUACAGAAAAGAUCAGCAUGGCCCCUGUGCAAGGAUGACACACAAAUUCAUGAAGUGUUUCAUAUUUUU
Small nuclear RNA from Bos indicus x Bos taurus (hybrid cattle), 107 nucleotides. NCBI's taxonomy places the organism in Eukaryota, Metazoa, Chordata, Mammalia, Artiodactyla, Bovidae. The record is from Ensembl.